Molecule: unclassified non-coding RNA, 391 nt
Filed under: soil metagenome
Description: partial contains 5.8S ribosomal RNA, internal transcribed spacer 2, and large subunit ribosomal RNA
Rfam family: 5.8S ribosomal RNA (bases 1-122)
Source: RNAcentral
GAUGAAGAACGUAGCGAAAUGCGAUACUUGGUGUGAAUUGCAGAAUCCCGUGAACCAUCGAGUCUUUGAACGCAAGUUGCGCCCGAAGCCAUUAGGCCGAGGGCACGCCUGCCUGGGCGUCACACGUCGUUGCCCCCCCAUCUACUCCUUCGGAAUUGCGGGGGGCGGAUGAUGGCCUCCCGUGCGCCUCGUCGCGCGGUUGGCAUAAAUGCCAAGUCCUCGGCGACGCACGCCACGACAAUCGGUGGUUGCGAAACCUCGGUUGCCCGUCGUGUGCGGUCGUCGCGCAUCGAGGGCUCGAAAAAAUUGCCGGGCUCCGGCUCGGCUUUCAACGCGACCCCAGGUCAGGCGGGGUUACCCGCUGAAUUUAAGCAUAUCAAUAAGCGGAGGA